UCUCUACAGAGAAGAUUAGCAUGGCCCCUGUGCAAGGAUGACACGCAAAUUCGUGAAGCGUUCCUCUCUCUC
This 72-nucleotide small nuclear RNA is filed under the name Scophthalmus maximus (turbot). The record is from RNAcentral. Lineage: Eukaryota; Metazoa; Chordata; Actinopteri; Pleuronectiformes; Scophthalmidae.